This 465-nucleotide ribosomal RNA is filed under the name uncultured Veillonellaceae bacterium. RNAcentral describes it as "partial 16S ribosomal RNA". Lineage: Bacteria; Bacillati; Bacillota; Negativicutes; Veillonellales; Veillonellaceae. The record is from RNAcentral.
GACUACCGGGGUAUCUAAGCCCGUUCGCUCCCCUAGCUUUCGCAUCUCAGUGUCAGACACAGUCCAGAAAGGCGCCUUCGCCACUGGUGUUCCUCCCAAUAUCUACGCAUUUCACCGCUACACUGGGAAUUCCCCUUUCCUCUCCUGCACUCAAGACUGUCAGUUUCCAUCGCAAUACGGGGUUGAGCCCCGCAUUUUCACAACAGACUUAACAGCCCACCUACAUGCUCUUUACGCCCAAUAAUUCCGGACAACGCUUGCCACCUACGUAUUACCGCGGCUGCUGGCACGUAGUUAGCCGUGGCUUCCUCGUUCAGUACCGUCAAUACCUGCAACUAUUUGCAACAGGCACUUUCGUCCUAAACAACAGAGUUUUACAGUCCGAAAACCUUCAUCACUCACGCGGCGUUGCUCCGUCAGACUUUCGUCCAUUGCGGAAUAUUCCCCACUGCAGCCCCCCGUAGG